RNAcentral lists this ribosomal RNA (522 nucleotides) under uncultured Glomeraceae. RNAcentral's name for it is "SSU rRNA". It matches the Rfam family "Eukaryotic small subunit ribosomal RNA", at positions 569 to 1092 of the family's 1831-position model. Lineage: Eukaryota; Fungi; Glomeromycota; Glomeromycetes; Glomerales; Glomeraceae. The record is from RNAcentral.
AGCAGCCGCGGUAAUUCCAGCUCCAAUAGCGUAUAUUAAAGUUGUUGCAGUUAAAAAGCUCGUAGUUGAAUUUCGGGGUUAGUAGGCUGGUCGUGCCACUGGUACGUACUGGUCUCACUGAUUCCUCCUUCCUGAUGAACCGUAAUGCCAUUAAUUUGGUGUUGCGGGGAAACUGGACUGUUACUUUGAAAAAAUUAGAGUGUUUAAAGCAAGCUAACGCUUGAAUACAUUAGCAUGGAAUAAUGAAAUAGGACGUUCGAUCCUAUUUUGUUGGUUUCUAGGAUUGACGUAAUGAUUAAUAGGGAUAGUUGGGGGCAUUAGUAUUCAAUUGUCAGAGGUGAAAUUCUUGGAUUUAUUGAAGACUAACUACUGCGAAAGCAUUUGCCAAGGAUGUUUUCAUUAAUCAAGAACGAAAGUUAGGGGAUCGAAGACGAUCAGAUACCGUCGUAGUCUUAACCAUAAACUAUGCCGACUAGGGAUCGGAUGAUGUUAAUUUUUUAAUGACUCAUUCGGCGCCUUACG